AUCCAGCCGACGAGUUCCAAAUAGGACGAAACGCGAGUCCUGCAU
Molecule: non-coding RNA, 45 nt
Filed under: Schistosoma mansoni
Lineage: Eukaryota; Metazoa; Platyhelminthes; Trematoda; Strigeidida; Schistosomatidae
Source: RNAcentral